UUGUUUAUUUAAAAUAUAAACUCAGACUAAUUGAUAAAAUAUAGAGUUGUGGUCCUUUGGUGAAGGCUCACCCGUCCUUUGUCUGAUGUCAAACCUAAUUUCUUUCAAAAUCAAAAGUAUCUCAAUCAAAACAAAGAUCCAGUGGACUUUUUGCUGCCUAAACAAACAAAAAGAACGCUUCACCAAAGUAAUAAAAUAAGUAACACAAAGGGUGGGAGAUUCUAUGCAAGCAUAGAAAAAUCUCGGUAAUGAUCCUUCCGCAGGUUCACCUACGGAAA
This 278-nucleotide unclassified non-coding RNA is filed under the name uncultured fungus. RNAcentral describes it as "sequence contains ITS1". The record is from RNAcentral. Lineage: Eukaryota; Fungi.